AAGACUAUAGACCUGCGGAGUACCUGCGGAAGGAUCAUUACCGAGUUAGGGUUCCUCUCACGGGCCCGACCUCCCAACCCUCUGUCUAUCACACCUUGUCGUUGCUUCGGUGGACCGGCCGAGGACUUCUGGUCCUGGGCCGCCGGGGGUGUUUGUCACCCCGGGAGCGCGUCCGCCGAUGGCCCAACUACAACUUCUUUGUUCCAAACCGGUCGUCUAAAUCAAACUUGAUCAAUAAAU
This 240-nucleotide unclassified non-coding RNA is filed under the name soil metagenome. RNAcentral describes it as "partial contains 5.8S ribosomal RNA, internal transcribed spacer 2, and large subunit ribosomal RNA". The record is from RNAcentral.